CUCUUAUUUAGAGUGGUGGAGGGACUGGCCCGAUGAAACCCGGCAACCGGCACAGUAUGUGCAGUGGUGCUAAAUCCUGCAGCAAAGCUGAGAGAUAAGAG
This is a regulatory RNA element of 101 nucleotides. It matches the Rfam family "SAM riboswitch aptamer (S box leader)". From Rfam's summary of the family: The SAM riboswitch is found upstream of a number of genes which code for proteins involved in methionine or cysteine biosynthesis in Gram-positive bacteria. The SAM riboswitch acts at the level of transcription termination control. The record is from Rfam.